ACGCUGGCGGCGUGCCUAAUACAUGCAAGUAGAACGCUGAAGGAGGAGCUUGCUUCUCCGGAUGAGUUGCGAACGGGUGAGUAACGCGUAGGUAACCUGCCUGGUAGCGGGGGAUAACUAUUGGAAACGAUAGCUAAUACCGCAUAAGAGUAGAUGUCGUAUGACAUUUGCUUAAAAGGUGCAAUUGCAUCACUACCAGAUGGACCUGCGUUGUAUUAGCUAGUUGGUGGGGUAACGGCUCACCAAGGCGACGAUACAUAGCCGACCUGAGAGGGUGAUUGGCCACACUGGGACUGAGACACGGCCCAGACUCCUACGGGAGGCAGCAGUAGGGAAUCUUCGGCAAUGGACGGAAGUCUGACCGAGCAACGCCGCGUGAGUGAAGAAGGUUUUCGGAUCGUAAAGCUCUGUUGUAAGAGAAGAACGAGUGUGAGAGUGGAAAGUUCACACUGUGACGGUAUCUUACCAGAAAGGGACGGCUAACUACGUGCCAGCAGCCGCGGUAAUACGUAGGUCCCGAGCGUUGUCCGGAUUUAUUGGGCGUAAAGCGAGCGCAGGCGGUUAGAUAAGUCUGAAGUUAAAGGCUGUGGCUUAACCAUAGUACGCUUUGGAAACUGUUUAACUUGAGUGCAAGAGGGGAGAGUGGAAUUCCAUGUGUAGCGGUGAAAUGCGUAGAUAUAUGGAGGAACACCGGUGGCGAAAGCGGCUCUCUGGCUUGUAACUGACGCUGAGGCUCGAAAGCGUGGGGAGCAAACAGGAUUAGAUACCCCUGGUAGUCCACGCCGUAAACGAUGAGUGCUAGGUGUUAGACCCUUUCCGGGGUUUAGUGCCGCAGCUAACGCAUUAAGCACUCCGCCUGGGGAGUACGACCGCAAGGUUGAAACUCAAAGGAAUUGACG
This 899-nucleotide ribosomal RNA is filed under the name uncultured bacterium. Its description in RNAcentral is "bacterial SSU rRNA". It matches the Rfam family "Bacterial small subunit ribosomal RNA", at positions 33 to 915 of the family's 1533-position model. The record is from RNAcentral.